CUUGCAUCGAAGAUGAUUUUAACUAUAAAGUGAGUGGCGAACGGGUGAGUAACACGUGGGUAACCUGCCCAGAAGUGGGGGAUAACACCUGGAAACAGAUGCUAAUACCGCAUAACAAAAUUAACCGCAUGGUUGAUUUUUAAAAGAUGGCUUCGGCUAUCACUUCUGGAUGGACCCGCGGCGUAUUAGCUAGUUGGUGAGAUAAAGGCUCACCAAGGCAGUGAUACGUAGCCGACCUGAGAGGGUAAUCGGCCACAUUGGGACUGAGACACGGCCCAGACUCCUACGGGAGGCAGCAGUAGGGAAUCUUCCACAAUGGACGCAAGUCUGAUGGAGCAACGCCGCGUGAGUGAUGAAGGCUUUCGGGUCGUAAAACUCUGUUGUUGGAGAAGAACGUGUGUGAGAGUAACUGCUCAUGCAGUGACGGUAUCCAACCAGAAAGCCACGGCUAACUACGUGCCAGCAGCCGCGGUAAUACGUAGGUGGCAAGCGUUAUCCGGAUUUAUUGGGCGUAAAGCGAGCGCAGGCGGUCUUUUAAGUCUAAUGUGAAAGCCUUCGGCUUAACCGAAGAAGUGCAUUGGAAACUGGGAGACUUGAGUGCAGAAGAGGAGAGUGGAACUCCAUGUGUAGCGGUGAAAUGCGUAGAUAUAUGGAAGAACACCAGUGGCGAAGGCGGCUCUCUGGUCUGCAACUGACGCUGAGGCUCGAAAGCAUGGGUAGCGAACAGGAUUAGAUACCCUGGUAGUCCAUGCCGUAAACGAUGAAUGCUAAGUGUUGGAGGGUUUCCGCCCUUCAGUGCUGCAGCUAACGCAUUAAGCAUUCCGCCUGGGGAGUACGACCGCAAGGUUGAAACUCAAAAGAAUUGACGGGGGCCCGCACAAGCGGUGGAGCAUGUGGUUUAAUUCGAAGCUACGCGAAGAACCUUACCAGGUCUUGACAUCUUCUGCUAACCUAAGAGAUUAGGCGUUCCCUUCGGGGACGGAAUGACAGGUGGUGCAUGGUUGUCGUCAGCUCCUGUCCUGAGAUGUUGGGUUAAGUCCCGCAACGAGCGCAACCCUUAUUAUUAGUUGCCAGCAUUAAGUUGGGCACUCUAGUGAGACUGCCGGUGACAAACCGGAAGAAGGUGGGGACAACUUCAAAUCAUCAUGCCCCUUAAGACCUGGGCUACCACCGUGCUACAAUGGACGGUACACCGAGUUGCGAAACCGCGAGGUUAACCUAAUCUCUUAAAACC
Molecule: ribosomal RNA, 1234 nt
Filed under: Pediococcus ethanolidurans
Lineage: Bacteria; Bacillati; Bacillota; Bacilli; Lactobacillales; Lactobacillaceae
Description: bacterial SSU rRNA
Rfam family: Bacterial small subunit ribosomal RNA
Source: RNAcentral